UACGGAGGGUGCAAGCGUUGUCCGGAUUCAUUGGGUUUAAAGGGUGUGUAGGUGGCGCCGUAAGUCGGGUGUGAAAUCUCGGGGCUUAACUCCGAAACUGCAUUCGAUACUGCGGUGCUUGAGGACUGGAGAGGAGACUGGAAUUCAUGGUGUAGCAGUGAAAUGCGUAGAGAUCAUGAGGAAGACCAGUGGCGAAGGCGGGUCUCUGGACAGUUCCUGACACUGAGACACGAAGGCCAGGGGAGCAAACGGG
This 253-nucleotide ribosomal RNA is filed under the name uncultured bacterium. RNAcentral describes it as "partial 16S ribosomal RNA". It matches the Rfam family "Bacterial small subunit ribosomal RNA", at positions 524 to 776 of the family's 1533-position model. The record is from RNAcentral.